UACGGAGGGUGCGAGCGUUGUCCGGAAUCAUUGGGCGUAAAGGGCGCGUAGGUGGCGGCUUAAGCGUGCGGUGAAAGCUCGGGCUCAACCCCGAGUCGGCCGUGCGAACUGAGUCGCUUGAGCACUGUAGAGGCAGGCGGAAUUCCGGGUGUAGCGGUGGAAUGCGCAGAUAUCAGAGGAACACCAAUGGCGAAGGCAGAUCUCUGGGCCGUAACUGACGCUGAGGAGCGAAAGCAUGGGGAGCGAACAGG
RNAcentral lists this ribosomal RNA (251 nucleotides) under uncultured bacterium. RNAcentral describes it as "partial 16S ribosomal RNA". It matches the Rfam family "Bacterial small subunit ribosomal RNA", at positions 524 to 776 of the family's 1533-position model. The record is from RNAcentral.